UUUUUGGAGAGUUUGAUUCUGGCUCAGAACGAACGUUGGCGGCGUGGUUAAGGCAUGCAAGUCGAACGAUCUUAUUGAGUUUUGAGGCCGCAAGGCCGAGAGACUUGAUUUGAUAGUGGCAAAAGGGUGAGGAAUACGUGGGUAAUCUACCUUCGGGAUCGGGAUAACACUCCGAAAGGAGUGCUAAUACCGGGUAAGACCACGGCUCCGCAUGGAGCUGCGGUAAAAGAUGGGGACCGUAAGGCCUAUCGUCUGAAGAGGAGCCCAUGUCCUAUCAGCUAGUUGGCGGGGUAACGGCCCACCAAGGCUUUUGACGGGUAGCUGGUCUGAGAGGAUGGUCAGCCACACUGGGACUGAGACACUGCCCAGACUCCUACGGGAGGCUGCAGUCGAGAAUCUUUCGCAAUGGGCGAAAGCCUGACGAUGCGACGCCGCGUGAGGGAUGAAGGUCUUCGGAUCGUAAACCUCUGUCACACGGGAAGAACGUCCUAUGGGUUAAUAACCCUGUGGGCUGACUGUACUGUGAGAGGAAGCCACGGCUAACUCCGUGCCAGCAGCCGCGGUAAUACGGAGGUGGCAAACGUUGUUCGGAUUUAUUGGGUGUAAAGGGUAUGUAGGCGGGCUUGUAAGUCGGAUGUGAAAUACUUUAGCUUAACUAAAGAACUGCAUUCGAAACUGCUUGUCUUGAGUUUGGGAGAGGAGAGUGGAAUUCUCGGUGUAAGGGUGAAAUCUGUAGAUAUCGAGAGGAACACCAGUGGCGAAAGCGACUCUCUGGACCAAAACUGACGCUGAAAUACGAAAGCUAGGGGAGCAAACAGGAUUAGAUACCCUGGUAGUCCUAGCCGUAAACGAUGAUCACUUGGUGCUGGGUCCUUAGGGCUCAGUGCCGAAGUUAACACAUUAAGUGAUCCACCUGGGGACUACGGCCGCAAGGUUGAAACUCAAAGAAAUUGACGGGGACCCGCACAAGCGGUGGAGCAUGUGGUUUAAUACGACGCUACACGUGGAACCUUACCAGGGCUUGAAAAGUGCAUGAAAUCUUUAUGAAAGUAGAGACCUCCUUUCCGGGACAUGCAUACAGGUGUUGCAUGGCUGUCGUCAGCUCGUGUCGUGAGAUGUUGGGUUAAGUCCCGCAACGAGCGCAACCAUCAUCUUUAGUUGCCAUCGGUUCGGCCGGGCACUCUAAAGAGAC
RNAcentral lists this ribosomal RNA (1192 nucleotides) under Candidatus Omnitrophota bacterium. Its description in RNAcentral is "bacterial SSU rRNA". It matches the Rfam family "Bacterial small subunit ribosomal RNA", at positions 1 to 1149 of the family's 1533-position model. The record is from RNAcentral. Lineage: Bacteria; Pseudomonadati; Candidatus Omnitrophota.